CUGAGACGUAGAGGUGCAUUAAAUAUCAGUAGUAUUCGUUAGGGUGAUGCCGUUAAGCGAAUAUGAAAGGAUUUGGUGCCGAAGUGGUGGAGUUGAUCAAGGCUUGCCGCUGGGGCUGUCAUCGAAUAGAGGCAGCACUGCCAUAGUGCUUCUUAUCUGGAUUGAUAAGUGGAAGGUAUACCGAGAAUGGGUAUCACUAUGGAGCGCUACUGAUAGG
RNAcentral lists this non-coding RNA (217 nucleotides) under Shewanella loihica PV-4. Its description in RNAcentral is "Lysine riboswitch aptamer". It matches the Rfam family "Lysine riboswitch aptamer". From Rfam's summary of the family: Riboswitches are metabolite binding domains within certain messenger RNAs that serve as precision sensors for their corresponding targets. RNAcentral also lists the same sequence under 1 other name. The record is from Rfam by way of RNAcentral. Lineage: Bacteria; Pseudomonadati; Pseudomonadota; Gammaproteobacteria; Alteromonadales; Shewanellaceae.